GAAACCCAGUGUGAUUCGUCACACUAUCAUUAACUGAAUCCAUAGGUUAAUGAGGCGAACCGGGGGAACUGAAACAUCUAAGUACCCCGAGGAAAAGAAAUCAACCGAGAUUCCCCCAGUAGCGGCGAGCGAACGGGGAGGAGCCCAGAGCCUGAAUCAGCAUGUGUGUUAGUGGAAGCGUCUGGAAAGGCGCGCGAUACAGGGUGACAGCCCCGUACACAAAAGCGCAUGUGCUGUGAGCUCGAUGAGUAGGGCGGGACACGUGGUAUCCUGUCUGAAUAUGGGGGGACCAUCCUCCAAGGCUAAAUACUCCUGACUGACCGAUAGUGAACCAGUACCGUGAGGGAAAGGCGAAAAGAACCCCGGCGAGGGGAGUGAAAAAGAACCUGAAACCGUGUACGUAC
This 404-nucleotide ribosomal RNA is filed under the name Salmonella enterica subsp. enterica serovar Ajiobo. Its description in RNAcentral is "partial 23S ribosomal RNA". It matches the Rfam family "Bacterial large subunit ribosomal RNA", at positions 123 to 567 of the family's 2925-position model. Lineage: Bacteria; Pseudomonadati; Pseudomonadota; Gammaproteobacteria; Enterobacterales; Enterobacteriaceae. The record is from RNAcentral.